GACGAACGCUGGCGGCUUGCUUAACACAUGCAAGUCGAACGGAGUGGCGAACGGGUGAGUAACACGUGGGUGAUCUGCCUUGCACUUCUGGAUAAGCUUGGGAAACUGGGUCUAAUACCGGCUCUUGCAAGAUGAGCUCGCGGCCUAUCAGCUUGUUGGUGGGGUAAUGGCCUACCAAGGCGUCGACGGGUAGCCGGCCUGCGAGGGUGUACGGCCACAUUGGGACUGAGAUAAGGCCCAGACUCGUACGGGAGGCAGCAGUGGGGAAUAUUGCACAAUGGGCGGAAGCCUGAUGCAGCGACGCCGCGUGGGGGAUGAAGGCCUUCGGGUUGUAAACUCCUUUAGACAGGGACGCGGUACCUGUAUAAGAAGCACCGGAUAACUACGUGCCAGCAGCCGCGGUAAUUC
RNAcentral lists this ribosomal RNA (408 nucleotides) under uncultured bacterium. Its description in RNAcentral is "partial 16S ribosomal RNA". It matches the Rfam family "Bacterial small subunit ribosomal RNA", at positions 28 to 526 of the family's 1533-position model. The record is from RNAcentral.